AGAGUUUGAUCAUGGCUCAGGACGAACGCUGGCGGCGUGCUUAACACAUGCAAGUCGAACGAUGAAGCUAGAGCUUGCUCUGGUGAAUUAGUGGCGAACGGGUGAGUAACACGUGAGUAACCUGCCCCAAACUCUGGGAUAACUGCUGGAAACGGUAGCUAAUACUGGAUAUGACCAACGAAGGCAUCUUCUGUUGGUGGAAAGAACUUCGGUUUGGGAUGGACUCGCGGCCUAUCAGCUUGUUGGUGAGGUAAUGGCUCACCAAGGCGACGACGGGUAGCCGGCCUGAGAGGGUGACCGGCCACACUGGGACUGAGACACGGCCCAGACUCCUACGGGAGGCAGCAGUGGGGAAUAUUGCACAAUGGGCGCAAGCCUGAUGCAGCAACGCCGCGUGAGGGACGACGGCCUUCGGGUUGUAAACCUCUUUUAGUAGGGAAGAAGCGAAAGUGACGGUACCUGCAGAAAAAGCACCGGCUAACUACGUGCCAGCAGCCGCGGUAAUACGUAGGGUGCAAGCGUUGUCCGGAAUUAUUGGGCGUAAAGAGCUCGUAGGCGGCUUGUCGCGUCUGCUGUGAAAACCCGAGGCUCAACCUCGGGCCUGCAGUGGGUACGGGCAGGCUAGAGUGCGGUAGGGGAGAUUGGAAUUCCUGGUGUAGCGGUGGAAUGCGCAGAUAUCAGGAGGAACACCGAUGGCGAAGGCAGAUCUCUGGGCCGUAACUGACGCUGAGGAGCGAAAGCAUGGGGAGCGAACAGGAUUAGAUACCCUGGUAGUCCAUGCCGUAAACGUUGGGAACUAGAUGUAGGGUCCAUUCCACGGAUUCUGUGUCGUAGCUAACGCAUUAAGUUCCCCGCCUGGGGAGUACGGCCGCAAGGCUAAAACUCAAAGGAAUUGACGGGGGCUCACACAAGCGGUGGAGCAUGUGGCUUAAUUCGAGGCUACGCGAAGAACCUUAUCCUAGACUUGACAUGGUGGAAGUAGCGAGGCGGAAACGUUUUGCGGCCGGUAUCCAAUCCGGAGACCAUCACAGGUGCUGCAUGGCUGUCGUCAGCUCGUGUCGUGAGAUGUCGGGUUAAGUCCCAUAACGAGCGAAACCCUUGCCUUCAGUUGCCAGCGAGUAAUGUCGGGGACUCUGGAGGGACUGCCGGUGUUAAACCGGAGGAAGGUGGGGAUGACGUCAAGUCCUCAUGGCCUUUACGUCUAGGGCUGCACACGUGCUACAAUGGCGCAUACAGAGGGAAGCAAACCCGCGAGGGGGAGCCAAUCUCAAAAAGUGCGCCCCAGUUCAGAUUGAAGGCUGCAACUCGCCUUCAUGAAGUUGGAAUCGCUAGUAAUCGCGGGUCAGCAACACCGCGGUGAAUGUGUUCCUGAGCCUUGUACACACCGCCCGUCAAGCCACGAAAGGGGAGGGGGGCCGAAGUCGCCUCACCAAGCAGGUGCCGAAGCUCACCUCCCUGAUUGGGACUAAGUCGUAACAAGGUAACCGUAGGGGAACCUGUGGCUGGAUCACCUCCUU
This 1517-nucleotide ribosomal RNA is filed under the name uncultured bacterium. RNAcentral describes it as "partial 16S ribosomal RNA". It matches the Rfam family "Bacterial small subunit ribosomal RNA". The record is from RNAcentral.